Molecule: long non-coding RNA, 342 nt
Filed under: Chlamydomonas reinhardtii
Lineage: Eukaryota; Viridiplantae; Chlorophyta; Chlorophyceae; Chlamydomonadales; Chlamydomonadaceae
Description: long non-coding RNA (CREI_LNC000343)
Source: RNAcentral
UGGGCGGCUGUUGCGGGGUAGGUCGUAGGCGGAACAGCGCAUACCGGGCACCCAGAGCGUCGGCGGCCUGCGGCGCUGCAUACGACAGGGCCGGGCCCGUCCCGCCGUGCGCCCCUGCCCCAAUAGCCUGUGGGCGGCGGGCGGCCCGUGCCUGUGUGUGUGUGUGUGUGCAGCGGCGGCUGGUUGCGGCGCUCAGUGCAGCCGUGUUUCGGGUUGACGAAUUGCUUGUCAGCUAGCGAGGCGCGCCGUGGACCUUGGAAAAGAGGGGCCGACCGGCACACGUGCUGCACAUGGGUGGUGGGCUGAGGAGGAGUCUUUGUUUCGGGGGGCCGCGCGGCUGAC